AAUAAAAUAAAAAAAGAAGUGGACACACCUGGAGUCGAACCCGUGACCUGGAACUGGCGCUAUAUAGGCUGACUUAGCAUCUUAGGUUGGAAUUUUGAAACCAUGGUGCAGGAUAAGCGUUGGGCAAAGGGAAGAUGAUAAAAGGGCCCAUUGAAAAACGUUUGGGUUUGAACCCAAUCCUCAAACGCAAAGGUCCAAGAAGAAAACAAAAGAAAUGGAGACACACGGAAUGCAUUCGUACACCUCACACGCACACAGGCUUGUGAAAAACUUUGGAUUCCUUUAUCCCAUGUCUGCACUUGGAACCUCGAGCCGAGAGCCAAACGGCUCUCUUCUUUCAUCGAUCUCAGAGCUCGUCAUUUCAAAAGAGUCUCCUCUUUCUCAUUUCUAAUUAUAUUGAGGAAUCCUAAGCCUUUUGCUCUAUAGAAACUGAGAGGUUCACAAAUAACAUGGAUCGAAAACCAAAGCUAACAAUUCAUACUCGCAUGUGACUGUGCUAUGCCUGCAUGUUGAGGAUCUGCUGGUUGCAUGGAUGAUGACAGUCGGAGGUAAAAUGUGUGUAGGAUGCUCACGGAUCUGUCGGCUAUAGGGAGAAAAAUAAAAGAAUCCUCUCGGACCGCACAGAUCCGAUCAUGCAAAAGAUAGCUUGGAUCUAGUUGAUAUCCGAGAGAAAAGAACACCCAAGCUGCAGAGUCAGUGGUUCAAAAUGGCAAAAUUAGCAGGCAAACUCCUGGAACUGCAACAGAACACUGGAGGUCCACAAAAGCAGCUCAUUGGCGUCUAAGGCUUGCAGUGAAGAAUGGCCGCAUAGCAAAACGGAGAUACAUAAGGUGACCCACUGGACAUCUCAAAAACACCCCUGGUCUGAGGUAUAUCAACUGCCCAUUGUUGAGAUUAUGUUGCCAUGUUCUCAAACAAUUGAUACGCUUACAGUGCAUUUUUUUUUCUGAAAACGUUCCUCCACAAUUAGCAUUAACAAGAGUCUUAGUAGUCAAAUUCAGCCCUCUGUAAAAUAAAUUCAUUUGAGUGUCACCAUUAAUGCCUGAAUGUGGACAUUUCCUGAGCAAAUCCUUGUAACGUUCCCAUGCUUCAUGAAUUGCUUCAUUAGGUUUCUGAGCAAAUGUUAAAAUUUGAG
Long non-coding RNA from Pyrus x bretschneideri (Chinese white pear), 1135 nucleotides. RefSeq lists it as uncharacterized. The transcript has 4 exons. The record is from RefSeq and is a predicted model, not a curated record. NCBI's taxonomy places the organism in Eukaryota, Viridiplantae, Streptophyta, Magnoliopsida, Rosales, Rosaceae.